AGUCCGUCGACGGCUCCCGUUCCUGGUCGGUGGUGUGGGGUCCUCCUCCAGUGUCAGGAUAUCUUGUUCUCUCUGGCAGUAUGGCAUUCUUCAGUUUGUCAGGUGAAGCGGGAGUGCUGUCUGUUGGUUUGUAGUUUCAACAGGUGGUCGUUCAGAAGUGUGGCAUUUCUGUGCAGGUUAAGAAGCCCACUGUGAAUUUUGCAGCUCUUCAGGUAUGUGGGAAGAAACAGAAAGGUUCGUGUCCUUGAGAGGCUUGAAUGCUUGCUUUGAGUUGAAGGUGGUCAUCCAAAGAGGUUUGGACUGGAGUUCCUUCCUGUGCUGGCUGAGAUCUGUGCUUUCCUGGGUUUUAGUUGUGUGUUCUAUAUGAGCAGUAUUGGGCUCGUUAAAAAAAAAAAUUGUGGAUUCUUUGUUUUUUAGCAUGUUUUCGUAUGUUUACUGUGGUUUUGAGAUUUUUUAAUUUUGCUGUAUGUACCGAAUAUGUA
Long non-coding RNA from Gallus gallus (chicken), 482 nucleotides. RefSeq annotates it as RNA-binding protein 12-like. The transcript has 4 exons. The record is from RefSeq and is a predicted model, not a curated record. Lineage: Eukaryota; Metazoa; Chordata; Aves; Galliformes; Phasianidae.